UACUUCCUCUAGGUGGUGUCGAUCACAUACAAACAAUUCCAAGGCUCCCAUACAACUUUCUGUACCUACUGGAUCGGGUGACCUUGCUUCUUCUUAUCUACAAAAGUGAAUACAUGGGAUCAAGAAAGAAACUAAAGAAAUAUUGAUAUUAAAGAUUGAUUUAGGUGGACCUACCCAUACGGCGCAUCCUUCGAACCAUCCCAAAAGCUUGAAAUGGUAAUGUUGCCCUUUACCCAACCCUUGCUAGAGUCAAGCAAAUCAAUCAUCAAUUAUAGUGAGUAUGGGUUGAGAGUAGAAACUUAUCUCAUCGAUUGAUAGUGUAUAUGAACAAAAUCUCCUAUAAUGACACAUUGAGGUUGUAAAGGGGUUCAAAACACUGAAUCCCAUAAUCGUCAAAAGGGAUCCCUUGAGACCUACCCGAAAUUUCCUUUUGUGUAAGAAUCCUAAAUUGUCCAUUAACAAUACGUGAAGUCCGAUAACAUAAACUUUUUUUUGCCAUUUUUCUUUUUUCACUCCAAUUGUAAUUAUGGGGGUUUUAACAACUUAAAUUUUAAUAUAUAUUCUUUAAUUAAAAUCUAAUUUAUCUUAUUUAUUUUAUAAAAACUUUAAAUAACUAUUUUUUUUACGCUUAAUACACCAUUUGAUGAUAUCUCUAUAUUCUAGUAUAAUUAAAUUAAUAAUGAUUUAAUAAUUCUAAUAAAAAUAAAUGUCACAUCAUCAACUUUAUCAAAUAAAAUAUUUCAAAUAAUUUGCAAUUCUAUUUCAUAAUAAUAAGAAAAUAAAAUUUGCACAUAAAAGGGCAUAAAAAUGCAUAAAAUAAAAUUAAUUUUGAAUAGAAUGAAAAAAUUUAUUAAAUUUGUUUUAACGAUGAAAAAAGAUGCCAUGGUACAGUACUUGCCAUUGAGAUUGCAAACACUGAAACUGAGUAGGAGACAUGGUUGGGGCCUCGGGAUGUGAACUGAUUUCUCGUUACCUACUCUCAAAAGAUAAAUUUCCUUUUUUUUUUUUAAAGCUUUUUGCAAAGCAAUUUGCUUGUUUAUUUUUAUUUUUAUUUUAUUUUUUAAUGAUUUAUUAUAAUUUUUUAUUGGAUAAAAAAUUAAAAUAUUUAAUUUUUUUGAAAUAAAAAAUAAUAUAUUAAAAAAAACAAACCAUCUAAUACUUUGUACUAUUAAACAUUAAAAUUCUAUUUGAAAUUAAAUAAAAAAAUCACAUUAAUAUAUAAAUAAUUUAUUAUUAUAUUAUUACUUUUUUCAAUUUAUUUUCAAAAAUAAAAAAAUCAAAAUAAGAUUAAUGAAGCAUAAUGAAAAGAAAUAUAAAUAGAAUUGAGCAAUUUAUUGAAACAUUUAUGUAAUUAUUAAAAAAGGGAGUGAGAAUAAAAAUUAUUAAUUUUGAACUAUUUACUAAUAAUAAGAAAUGAAAUAAAAUAUAAGUAUGAUUAUAUAAUAAAAAAUCUAUUUUUAUUGUUAUUCUUUUUUAAGUAAAUCCUUUUCAUGUGAUAUUAAUAUGAUUUUUAUUUUUAUUUUUUAUAUAAAUUUGGAGAUUGUUUUUAAUAAUUUAUUUAUUUUUGUUAGAUCACUUUGAUGAAUUUAGAAACAUUUAAAUUUAUCAAAUUCUUAGAUAUUUUUAAUGAUUUAAUUUUUUUUAAAUAUAUUAAAUAAUUUGAUUACUUUAAAUAUCUAAAUACUCAAAUAUCUAUAUUUAAAUAUAAUUAUAAUUUAAACAUUUAAUUAUAUAAUAAAUAUGAGCAUCACGUGGAAUUCCUCAAAUUCACUCCAUGAAUCCAUCAUUCUCCCAAUUUGCAGAAUGGGUUUCUUAACUUCUUAUGACCUCAUUCUAAGUUUUGAUUCCCAAAGUUAAGUAAACAAGUGUGUAAAGGGAAUGGGAAUCACUCCCACUGAUUCAAUUCCAUGGAAUGAAGUAAACAUUCUCUUUCUCUUUCCUUUUUAUCAUAUUUUCUAAAAGUUUAGCAAUCAUACGUGAAGGGUGAAGGAGGUCGUGGCCGGGAAUGAAAUUAAUCUUGAAAUAAAAGUUUCCACCAAUAAGAAAAAGGAAAAUAGUUUUUCUGACUACUAAUAUCAGCUGCAGCUAUGCAAUUUCAACCGACCCGCCCGACCCAAUCCCAACAAAUGGGGCUUUAGGGUGCCUUUUGGUGCUGAAGACCAUGAUUUAGGUGGGACUAGUCGGGUCCUCUCUUCAAGUUAGAUAUAAUAAAAUUUGAUGCGAGAUAGCUUAACAUAAUUCAAACUUGAAAUGUUGUUUUCUGGUUUUGGUUAAGUAUAAUCGGGUUAUGGUGAAAUUUGUAUCCAUCUACAUAACUUAUUUCAUAAAUAUAAUGUUUUUAAUAUUAAUAUGCCUAAUAAGAAUUUGAUCAAAAUUGAUAUAUUUAAUAAUUGUAUUAAUUAGCUUGAUUAUAGUUAUAACUUAUUUAAUUCACAUUUUAUUAAUUUAAAAUUUGAUUUUAAAGAAAGAGAUUAAUUUAAGUCAUAAAUAAAUCAUUUUAAGAAGUUAAUUAUAUUGAUUCAAAUAAAAUCUAAUUUCACUUGAUUAUUAAAUAUGAUAUGAUUAUUAGAUGAGUUCCACAAUAUGUUAUUUAUUUAAUAAUUACAUUAUAUUUUUAAGGAUCUCGUACUCAUGGCAUAAUAUCAACUUAAUUUGUCAUUUCUUUUAGUUAUUGUGAAAAGAAAAACCCCCCUUGAAAUUUUCUAUUUAAUUGUAACAUUUUUUAGAAUAAUUUGCUAAAACAUAUUAAUGAAAUUAAUGAAGUUAUUAAAAUUAUUAACAAAAAUUGUACCUAAAAAUUAUAAAACUCUUUUAAUAAAUUUUCCUAUUUAUUUUAAAUUAUUAAAUUUUAUAUUAAAAUUAUUAGUAAACCUUACUAAUAAAAUUAUUACAAUUAUAAAACUCAUUUAAUUGUUAUUAUUAAAUUGUACCUAAAAAUUAUCAAUUUAGUUAUUUUUAGUUAUAUGGCUCACUAGUAAACCUUACUUCCUCUAUCUAAUUUGUAUUUGGUUAUUGUUUUAUCAAUAUUAUACUUAGGUGGUGUUUAUUUUCUAGCUGAAUAGAAAAGAUCAAAAUAUUUUAUUUUUUUUAUUAAGUUAAAAGUACCUUAUUGAUAUUAACCAACAUAAUUAAAGUGAACUUGUUAUUAAUAAGUUUAGUCUAUUUAUAUUGAUUGAUCUUAAUGAAUUACUUUUAAUUGAAUGAAAAAAAUAAAAUAUUUUGGUUUUUUUUAUUUAAUAAAAAAAACAAACACCAUCCUAGUCUGUUUUAUCAUAAAUAAAUCACAACUUGGACGUAUAUGAAAAAACUCUGAGGAAGGCGUACGUAUGAAAUAAUAUUAUUAAAGAUAAGGUUAUAUAGAGUACAAUAUGAAGCCAUGCUUCAAACACCAUACAGAAAAGUACAUAUAUGGUUGAAUUAAACGAACUAAAACCACUCAGUUUCAAUCUUCAUUUGGCCGCAAGUCAAUUGCUCGAGGACAAUCAAUUAUUGUGCCAGCUAGCUUAUCUUAUCUUAGGCUGAUUUCAAGGUGUUACCAAUGUCAAUUACGAAGCGGUACCUAACAUCGGCUUUCUCCAGUCGCUCCAUGGCAGUGUUCACAUAGUCCAUUGGAAUAACCUCAACAUCUGCAGUUAUGUUGUGUUUCCCCGCAAAAUCAAUCAUUUCCUGUGUCUCCUUCAUCCCUCCUAUACAGCUUCCAGCUACUACCUUCCUCCCUGUCAUUCAAAUUCCUGUUAGCUAUACUUAUUUGAGUUUCAUUAGUUUUUUAAUUUUCUUAGAUUGAUUGUUCAUCCAAAACUGUGGAUACAAAUAGAUUUUGAAAAAUGGAUUAUUUUUAGACAAGUACUAGAAGCUAUCUUUGAUUCGAUUUUUGCUUCCACCAGAAUAAGUUAUUACUCAAGGACUCAUAAAUUACUUACCCAUAAUCAAAGGAAAGACUGGUAGCUCAAGUGGCCUAUUUGGUGCACCAACCAUAACGAGCUUCCCUUGAGAUUUCAACAAACCGAUCAAUGGAAGAAGAGGGUGAACAGCAGAGACUGUAUCAAUGAUGCCAUCCAUUGUGCCCAUGGCAGCCUGCAGAAAUUCAAGUACAUAAUAUCAACGAAUCUAUUACAAACAAUAGAAUUAACCAAGUUAGACAAUCUGUAACACAGGCACAGGAUAUACUCAAGUUUACCUACCUGCAUCUGAUCUGGUUCGCGGCUGACUAGAAAGUAGUCGGCACCAAGGUGUUCUAUGGCUUCCUUCUUCUUGCUAGGGGAAGUACUGAUCACAGUCACCUUAACCCCAAAACCCUUGGCAAACUUUACAGCUACAUGUCCCAGUCCACCUAGGCCAACCACACCGAUGUGCAUUCCAGGUUUGGUGAGUCCAAAAUGUUGCAAGGGGCUGUACACUGUGAUCCCAGCACAUAGGAGAGGAGCACCAGCAUCAAGAGGAAGGUUGUCUGGGAUACGAACCACAUAGCGCUCCUCAGCAACCAUGACAUCUGAGUAGCCUCCAUAUGUGGUGGUUCCAUCAUGGUAAGGGGCACUGUAGGUGAAUACCAUUUUGGGGCAGUAAUUCUCGAGAUCAUUGUCACAGCUAUCAC
RNAcentral lists this long non-coding RNA (4591 nucleotides) under Vitis vinifera (wine grape). Its description in RNAcentral is "long non-coding RNA (VVIN_LNC007624)". Lineage: Eukaryota; Viridiplantae; Streptophyta; Magnoliopsida; Vitales; Vitaceae. The record is from RNAcentral.